Molecule: ribosomal RNA, 250 nt
Filed under: uncultured prokaryote
Description: partial 16S ribosomal RNA
Rfam family: Bacterial small subunit ribosomal RNA
Source: RNAcentral
UACGUAGGUGGCGAGCGUUAUCCGGAAUUACUGGGUGUAAAGGGUGUGUAGGCGGGUCGGCAAGUCAGGCGUGAAAAGGGAAGGCUCAACCUUUCCCCUGCGCUUGAAACUGUCGGUCUUGAGAGUGGGAGAGGUAAACGGAAUUCCUGGUGUAGUAGUGAAAUGCGUAGAUAUCAGGAGGAACACCGGUGGCGAAGGCGGUUUACUGGACCACAACUGACGCUGAGACACGAAAGCGUGGGGAGCAAAC